GGAAUCUUUCACAAUGGGCGAAAGCCUGAUGGAGCAACGCCGCGUGCAGGAUGACGGCCUUCGGGUUGUAAACUGCUUUUAUAAGCGAGAAAUAUGAUGGUAACUUAUGAAUAAGGAUCGGCUAACUACGUGCCAGCAGCCGCGGUCAUACGUAGGAUCCGAGCAUUAUCCGGAGUGACUGGGUGUAAAGAGUUGCGUAGGUGGCGUGGUAAGUAGAUAGUGAAAUCUGGUGGCUCAACCAUUCAGACUAUUAUCUAAACUGCCAAGCUCGAGAUCGUUAGGGGUAGCUGGAAUUUCUAGUGUAGGAGUGAAAUCCGUAGAUAUUAGAAAGAACACCGACAGCGUAGGCAGGCUACUGGGACGAUUCUGACACUAAGGCACGAAAGCGUAGGGAGCAAACG
RNAcentral lists this ribosomal RNA (401 nucleotides) under uncultured Candidatus Saccharibacteria bacterium. RNAcentral describes it as "bacterial SSU rRNA". It matches the Rfam family "Bacterial small subunit ribosomal RNA", at positions 358 to 774 of the family's 1533-position model. The record is from RNAcentral. Lineage: Bacteria; Candidatus Saccharimonadota.